UGCGUAGGUGGUUAUGUAUGUCGGAUGUGAAAUCCCAAGGCUCAACUUUGGAAUGGCAUCCGAAACUGCAUAACUUGAGUGCAGGAUGGGAGAGCGGAAUUCUUGGUGUAGCGGUGAAAUGCGUUGAUAUCAAGAAGAACACCGGCGGCGAAGGCGGCUCUCUGGAAUGUUACUGACACUGAGGCACGAAAGCUGGGGGAGCGAACAGGAUUAGAUACCCUGGUAGUCC
This 229-nucleotide ribosomal RNA is filed under the name uncultured bacterium. RNAcentral's name for it is "partial 16S ribosomal RNA". It matches the Rfam family "Bacterial small subunit ribosomal RNA", at positions 568 to 796 of the family's 1533-position model. The record is from RNAcentral.